RNAcentral lists this transfer RNA (58 nucleotides) under Lynx lynx (Eurasian lynx). Its description in RNAcentral is "partial tRNA-Glu". It matches the Rfam family "tRNA", at positions 1 to 60 of the family's 71-position model. Rfam says of the family: Transfer RNA (tRNA) molecules are approximately 80 nucleotides in length. Their secondary structure includes four short double-helical elements and three loops (D, anti-codon, and T loops). The record is from RNAcentral. Lineage: Eukaryota; Metazoa; Chordata; Mammalia; Carnivora; Felidae.
GUUCUUGUAGUUGAAAUACAACGAUGGUUUUUCAUGUCAUUGGUCAUGGUUAAAUUCC